ACGGAGGAUUCAAGCGUUAUCCGGAUUUAUUGGGUUUAAAGGGUGCGUAGGCGGUUUGAUAAGUUAGAGGUGAAAUUUCGGGGCUCAACCCUGAACGUGCCUCUAAUACUGUUGAGCUAGAGAGUAGUUGCGGUAGGCGGAAUGUAUGGUGUAGCGGUGAAAUGCUUAGAGAUCAUACAGAACACCGAUUGCGAAGGCAGCUUACCAAACUAUAUCUGACGUUGAGGCACGAAAGCGUGGGGAGCAAACAG
RNAcentral lists this ribosomal RNA (251 nucleotides) under uncultured bacterium. Its description in RNAcentral is "partial 16S ribosomal RNA". It matches the Rfam family "Bacterial small subunit ribosomal RNA", at positions 525 to 775 of the family's 1533-position model. RNAcentral also lists the same sequence under 1 other name. The record is from RNAcentral.